GAACUUAAGCAUAUCAAUAAGCGGAGGAAAAGAAACUAACAAGGAUUCCCCUAGUAACUGCGAGUGAAGCGGGAAAAGCUCAAAUUUAAAAUCUGGCGUGCCUCUGGUCGUCCGAGUUGUAGUUUAGAGAAGCGUUUUCUGUGUUGGACCGUGUAUAAGUCUCUUGGAACAGGGCGUCGUAGAGGGUGAGAAUCCCGUCUUUGACACGGACUACCAAUGCUUUGUGAUACGCUCUCAAAGAGUCGAGUUGUUUGGGAAUGCAGCUCAAAAUGGGUGGUAAAUUCCAUCUAAAGCUAAAUAUAGGCGAGAGACCGAUAGCGAACAAGUACCGUGAGGGAAAGAUGAAAAGCACUUUGGAAAGAGAGUUAAACAGUACGUGAAAUUGCUGAAAGGGAAACGCUUGAAGUCAGUCACGUCUGCCAGGACUCAGCCUUGCUUCUGCUUGGUGUACUUUCUGGUUGGAUGGGCCAACAUCGAUUUCGACCGUUGGAGAAAGGCUUUGGGAAUGUGGCACCUUCGGGUGUGUUAUAGCCCUUUGUCGUAUACAACGGUUGGGAUCGAGGACUGCAGCAUGCCUUCAUGGCCGGGGUUCGCCCACGUACAUGCUUAGGAUGUUGGCAUAAUGGCUUUAAGCGACCCGUCUUGAAACACGGACCAAGGAGUCUAACAUGCCUGCGAGUGUUUGGGUGGAAAACCCAUGCGCGUAAUGAAAGUGAUAGCUGAGAUCCUCUCAUCAGGAGCAUCAGCGCCUGGACUUGAUCUACGGAGACGGUUCUACGGUAGAGCAUGUAUGUUGGGACCCGAAA
Molecule: ribosomal RNA, 806 nt
Filed under: uncultured fungus
Lineage: Eukaryota; Fungi
Description: eukaryotic LSU rRNA
Rfam family: Eukaryotic large subunit ribosomal RNA
Source: RNAcentral